This is a small nucleolar RNA of Takifugu rubripes (torafugu), 150 nucleotides long. The record is from Ensembl. Lineage: Eukaryota; Metazoa; Chordata; Actinopteri; Tetraodontiformes; Tetraodontidae.
CUUCGGUGAAGAUAAGAUGACGAGUCGGAAUAGGACAGAUCCUGCUUCUGUCGGUCACUGGUUCAGGUCCACGUUCUGUGGGUUUCUACCAGUUCUUCAGAGUGGGUCGUCCUCUUCAUUUGAAGACACUGAGGCAUUUGUCUGAGAAGG